Long non-coding RNA from Pygocentrus nattereri (red-bellied piranha), 1185 nucleotides. NCBI's taxonomy places the organism in Eukaryota, Metazoa, Chordata, Actinopteri, Characiformes, Serrasalmidae. The record is from Ensembl.
AUGGACAACAGAAUGACGUAUCCAAGAACGGACAUGCCACUCAGAACCGAUGAAAGUUUCAAAAAUAAGACAGAUUCAGAUCACCACCUUGGCAUUUCACCUUUAGAAAGAACAUCUUCGGGAAUGGUCUCUGGGUUCCCUCUUGAUUAUAUGCACCUUGUGUGCCUAGGUGUCAUGCAGCGACUUCUUCACCUGUGGCUGAAGUUAGGUCCUCUCACUUGUAGGCUGCCUGGGUUUCAGCAAAACCUAUUAACAGAGCGACUGCUGGGUGCUCAGAGCUGCGUCCCUGUGGAGUUUGCAUGUAAACCAAGGUCUCUCAGAGAAAUUGACAGAUGGAAAGCCACAGAAUUUAGGCAAUUUUUAUUGUACAUGGGCCCUGUCCUGCUCAAAGAUGUACUGCACACCGCAGUGUAUGAAAAUUUUCUGCUUUUGUUUGUGGGAAUUUUCAUACUCAGCAAUAAUAGCGUGAUCGAGGACUACCUGGGCUAUGCCAAUGACAUAUUGGGUCUUUUUGUGUCUCAUUUUGGAGAGCUGUAUGGCCCUAAAUUUGUCUCCUACAAUGUUCACAAUUUAGUGCAUCUUGCACAAGAUGUAAAAAACCAUGGUGCUCUCGACAGCUUCAGUGCUUUCCAAUAUGAAACCCACCUGAAUAAAAUUAAAAAGCUCAUUAGGAAACCUAGCUGCCCUCUGAGUCAGAUUGGAAAGAGACUAUCAGAGAAGCCAUGGAGUGACAGCAUGGAGAAAAAGACAAGUGUGUCAAAAGAACAUACUUCUGGUCCUCUUUCACCACCUUUCUGUGGUGCAACACAGUACAAAGAGCUGGCAACCUCACUCUUCACUGUCAAACUUGACCAAGCCAACAGUCAUCUUUAUUUGGGGGGGAAAGUUGUCAAGGUUAAAAAUAUUAUGUCUUACAGGAAUGAAGUAUAUGUUGCAUACAGUACAUUUGAGCAGCAUGAACCAUUCUUUCAAUAUCCAGUCAUCAUCGACAAUUGGCAUACAUUUGGUCCACGGACGAUACAUUUGGUCCACAAGAACGAUAAACUACUGCAAAGUAAACCAAAUAGAGGGGAAGGCCUUUGUUAUUCCAUACAAAGACAAAUUUGUGUCAAUUCCACUUUUGCAUACAAAACAGCAGUAAAUCACCAUUCAGAACUUGGAAUCAUAUGUUAUAUAUAUUUUUAA